Molecule: transfer RNA, 77 nt
Filed under: Gammaproteobacteria bacterium
Lineage: Bacteria; Pseudomonadati; Pseudomonadota; Gammaproteobacteria
Also listed under: 1 other name
Description: tRNA-Arg
Rfam family: tRNA
About the family: Transfer RNA (tRNA) molecules are approximately 80 nucleotides in length.
Source: RNAcentral
GCCCCGUUAGCUCAGCUGGAUAGAGCGUCCCCCUCCUAAGGGGAAGGUCGCAAGUUCGAAUCCUGCACGGGGCACCA